CUAAAUCCAUUUUCUUGAUGAACCGCAAAUGAAACCCUAAGCCUAAAUAAAUAUUCUAUUUGAUCCUUUAUUUCUUAGCCCUUGCACGGAUUUAAACGUCUGACCAUUGAUAUUGAUGGAUUAGGUAGAUAUAUCAUGGUGGUUUCAAAAGAAAAAAAAAGAGUGAAUUAAGGAAUUGUAUGGUAUAGUCGGUAUAAGAUUUCUUGAGCUUGUAGAAAAUUAAGGCAAAAUUCCAAUCGAGGAAAUAUCGAUG
RNAcentral lists this long non-coding RNA (253 nucleotides) under Gossypium barbadense (sea-island cotton). RNAcentral's name for it is "long non-coding RNA (GBAR_LNC003338)". Lineage: Eukaryota; Viridiplantae; Streptophyta; Magnoliopsida; Malvales; Malvaceae. The record is from RNAcentral.